RNAcentral lists this ribosomal RNA (253 nucleotides) under uncultured bacterium. RNAcentral's name for it is "partial 16S ribosomal RNA". It matches the Rfam family "Bacterial small subunit ribosomal RNA", at positions 524 to 776 of the family's 1533-position model. The record is from RNAcentral.
UACGUAGGGCGCAAGCGUUGUCCGGAAUUAUUGGGCGUAAAGGGCUCGUAGGCGGCUUGUCACGUCGAUUGUGAAAGCUCGGGGCUUAACCCCGAGUCUGCAGUCGAUACGGGCUAGCUAGAGUGUGGUAGGGGAGAUCGGAAUUCCUGGUGUAGCGGUGAAAUGCGCAGAUAUCAGGAGGAACACCGGUGGCGAAGGCGGAUCUCUGGGCCAUUACUGACGCUGAGGCGCGAAAGCUAGGGGAGCGAACAGG